Molecule: ribosomal RNA, 392 nt
Filed under: uncultured bacterium
Lineage: Bacteria
Description: bacterial SSU rRNA
Rfam family: Bacterial small subunit ribosomal RNA
Source: RNAcentral
UUACCGNNUUAANUGGNCGGANACCNUUUUAGCCAAGGUGCUGCAUGGUUGUCGUCAGCUCGUGCCGUGAGGUGUCGGGUUAAGUCCCUUAACGAGCGCAACCCUAUCUUAGUUGCCAGCGUACGGGACUCUAAGAAACUGCCCGUGCAACGGGAGGAAGGUGGGGAUGACGUCAAAUCAUCACGGCCCUUACGCCGGGCCACACACGUGCUACAAUGGGGUACAAGGGGCAAGGUGACUGAUGCAAUCUCGAACCAUCUCAGUUCGGAUUGAAGUCUGCAACUCGACUUCAUGAAGCUGGAAUCGCUAGUAAUCGCGAUCAGCAUGCGCGGUGAAUACGUUCCCGGGCCUUGUACACACCGCCCGUCAAGCCAUGGGAGUCGGGGGCCGAA